Molecule: small RNA, 228 nt
Filed under: Oryza sativa Japonica Group (Japanese rice)
Lineage: Eukaryota; Viridiplantae; Streptophyta; Magnoliopsida; Poales; Poaceae
Description: sRNA Os10g0325150
Source: RNAcentral
CUUAUAAUAUUCAAGCUAAUAUCUGUCGGCAACCUGAUAUCUAGCUUGCUGCAUUAGAAUUAUUCAUGCUGGUGUUUGUGAGAGAUGUAGAACAAACCGUAUCCAUUGUACAAAUAUAUGCUGUAGAUUGUAUUCUAGCGACAUAUGUAUAUAUUUGUGCCUCUGAAAUCAUGGACUCAUGUACUACUUUCAUUUGGAUGUAUAUAUACAUGACAAUGCAUUGAUAUC